Molecule: transfer RNA, 84 nt
Filed under: Felis catus (domestic cat)
Lineage: Eukaryota; Metazoa; Chordata; Mammalia; Carnivora; Felidae
Rfam family: tRNA
About the family: Transfer RNA (tRNA) molecules are approximately 80 nucleotides in length. Their secondary structure includes four short double-helical elements and three loops (D, anti-codon, and T loops).
Source: Rfam by way of RNAcentral
GCCUGGGUGGCUCAGUCGGUUAAGCGUCCGACUUUAACCAGGUCACUAUCUCGCGGUCCGUGGGUUCAAGCCCCGCCACAGGCU